GGACUACCAGGGUAUCUAAUCCUGUUUGCUCCCCACGCUGUCGCGCCUCAGCGUCAGCCGGCAGAUUGCUCUGCCUUCCUGCCCAGCGGGCCGCCUUCGCCACCGGUGUUCUUCCGGAUCUCUACGCAUUCCACCGCUACACCCGGAAUUCCACCCGCCCCUACAGUGCUCGAGCACGCCAGUCCGCAUGGCCGACCCGGGGUUGAGCCCCGGGCUUUCACCACACGCUUGGCCUGCCGCCUACGCGCCCUUUACGCCCAGUGAUUCCGGACAACGCUCGCACCCUCCGUAUUACCGCGGCGGCUGGCAC
RNAcentral lists this ribosomal RNA (310 nucleotides) under uncultured bacterium. RNAcentral's name for it is "partial 16S ribosomal RNA". The record is from RNAcentral.